AAGUCGUAACAAGGUUUCCGUAGGUGAACCUGCGGAAGGAUCAUUAUUGAAUUAUGUUUUCUAGAUGGGUUGUAGCUGGCUCCUAGGAGCAUGUGCACGCCUGUCUGGACUUCAUUUUCAUCCACCUGUGCACCUCUUGUAGUCUUUGUUCGGGUAUGGAGGAAGUGGUCAGCCUUAUCAGCUCCGGCUGGAUAUGAGGACUUGCAGUGUGAAAGCAGUGCUGUCCGCUACUUGGCCAUGGAAUCUGUUUCCUGUCAGAGUCUAUGUUGUUCAUUAUACCCUAUAAACUGUUAUUGAAUGUUUUUACAUGGGCUUCUAUGCCUAUGAAAAUUGUAAUACAACUUUCAGCAACGGAUCUCUUGGCUCUC
This 368-nucleotide unclassified non-coding RNA is filed under the name air metagenome. RNAcentral's name for it is "partial contains small subunit ribosomal RNA, internal transcribed spacer 1, and 5.8S ribosomal RNA". The stretch from base 1 to 46 matches the Rfam family "Eukaryotic small subunit ribosomal RNA", at positions 1786 to 1831 of the family's 1831-position model. The record is from RNAcentral.